This 87-nucleotide transfer RNA is filed under the name Flammeovirgaceae bacterium. RNAcentral describes it as "tRNA-Ser". It matches the Rfam family "tRNA". Rfam says of the family: Transfer RNA (tRNA) molecules are approximately 80 nucleotides in length. Their secondary structure includes four short double-helical elements and three loops (D, anti-codon, and T loops). The record is from RNAcentral. Lineage: Bacteria; Pseudomonadati; Bacteroidota; Cytophagia; Cytophagales; Flammeovirgaceae.
GGAGGGGUGGCCGAGUGGUUGAAGGCGCACGCUUGGAAAGCGUGUAUACCUUUACGGGUAUCGGGGGUUCGAAUCCCUUCCUCUCCG